RNAcentral lists this long non-coding RNA (1277 nucleotides) under Fragaria vesca (wild strawberry). RNAcentral describes it as "long non-coding RNA (FVES_LNC005288)". Lineage: Eukaryota; Viridiplantae; Streptophyta; Magnoliopsida; Rosales; Rosaceae. The record is from RNAcentral.
UAUGGUCGGUAUCAUCCGCGGAAGGAAUAGGUGAGGCGGCGGCAUCUGUACCCCAGAUGACCCACUAUCCGAAGAAGUAGGAGCUGGAGUGGGCGCCCGGUGUAUCUCAGGCAUACGGGGUGCAGACACCUCCGUCUGAGGCUGAGCAAACAACUGCCUCGAGGAAUGAGGGAAGCCCCGCUGCCUCGAUGAAGGGGGCACCUCCGGCUGCCUCUGAGCCGUCUCCAGAAGGCUCGCACGUCUGGCUGUCAUCUGGCCCUGAAACGUCGUUUGGGGGUUGCUAGAGGUUCCCUCAGACGAUUCAGAUCUUUGGCCCUUCGAACUCUUCUUCGAUCUAAAAUAGCCGCUCAUCCUAUUUAAAAUAUUAAUUUGAAUCAAGGCUGAGGUAACAUUGAAAAAGUAAAAAUUCAAGCUUAUCCUUCUCAAAUCUAAGGCUUUAGAUUAUUUUGUCUUUAUUGUAUAAAAAUAUUUUUGAAACCAUAUUUUUUCAUUAUGUCCAUGCUUAAAUUUAAACACUUAAUAUAAUGUGAAAUAUAUAUGUUUUAAAAUUAUACUUAUUCAAAAAUAUGAAUUCAAUAAAAUAUAUAUAUAUAUAUAUAUUCAUCCGGAUUUGAUAUAAGUUUUUCUAUUUUGAUUUUGAUUUUAUGUUUAUAAGUUUUUCUAUAUUCAUCCGGAUUUGAUAUAAGUUUUUCUAUUUUGUAUUUUGUAUUUUGUAUUUUAUGUUUUUCUACAAGUUCAUUAUCAACAAAGCAUAUCUUUAAAAAAUAACGAUAAUUUAUCUCCUAAACAUAAAUUAGAGAAAUUAGACAAUACAUAAAACAUAAAUAAAAAAGAAAUUAGACAAUAAAAAUAAAAUCACAUUAACAAAAAAUUAAAUUAAUAAACAAAAAAUUCUUCGUCAGAAAUUUUCUAAAGUCUGGAAUUUACCGACAAAUUAUUUCCAGACACCGAUCUGCUCACAACAUUCAAUUCCCAACACCUAAAACACCAGAUUUGAUUUUCCUCCAAAUUAUUCUCAACUUUAAAUCCUUGACUCUCUAAUCAUCCAAUUCCUACCCGCUUCAAUUUUUCCAAGCUCAAAUCUACUCAAAAUUGUACACACACUCCCAAAUUGGAAAACCAAAUCUUAACAAAAAACAAUAAACCCCAAACAAACCCAGCUAAACAAUCCAAUCAAUUUCCACAUUCCACGGUCCCCAUUGAACAAUCAUGCAGCUUGUUUGAAUUACACAAUAAACAAGAGGAAAAAAAAAAAAAAAANAAAAAAACUUAACCUA